This 451-nucleotide ribosomal RNA is filed under the name uncultured bacterium. RNAcentral describes it as "partial 16S ribosomal RNA". It matches the Rfam family "Bacterial small subunit ribosomal RNA", at positions 29 to 523 of the family's 1533-position model. The record is from RNAcentral.
AGCGAACGCUGGCGGCAGGCUUAACACAUGCAAGUCGAGCGGUCGUAGCAAUACGUCAGCGGCAGACGGGUGAGUAACGCGUGGGAACGUACCUUUUGGUUCGGAACAACACAGGGAAACUUGUGCUAAUACCGGAUAAGCCCUUACGGGGAAAGAUUUAUCGCCGAAAGAUCGGCCCGCGUCUGAUUAGCUAGUUGGUAGGGUAAUGGCCUACCAAGGCGACGAUCAGUAGCUGGUCUGAGAGGAUGAUCAGCCACAUUGGGACUGAGACACGGCCCAAACUCCUACGGGAGGCAGCAGUGGGGAAUAUUGGACAAUGGGGGCAACCCUGAUCCAGCCAUGCCGCGUGAGUGAUGAAGGCCCUAGGGUUGUAAAGCUCUUUUGUGCGGGAAGAUAAUGACGGUACCGCAAGAAUAAGCCCCGGCUAACUUCGUGCCAGCAGCCGCCGCCG